CAGUUGAUCCAUCUUUCCAGCCCUUACAAAUUAUUUAUUAAAAAUUAUAAUUGACCAGGUUGGAGAGAUGGCUUAGCAGU
Molecule: microRNA precursor, 80 nt
Filed under: Jaculus jaculus (lesser Egyptian jerboa)
Lineage: Eukaryota; Metazoa; Chordata; Mammalia; Rodentia; Dipodidae
Description: miRNA (ENSJJAG00000002884.1)
Source: RNAcentral